UACGGAGGAUCCAAGCGUUAUCCGGAAUUACUGGGCGUAAAGAGUUGCGUAGGUGGCAUAGUAAGUAGAUAGUGAAAGCGUGUGGCUCAACCAUACUUACAUUAUCUAAACUGCUAAGCUAGAAGACGAGAGAGGUAGAUGGAAUUCCCAGUGUAGGAGUGAAAUCCGUAGAUAUUGGGAGGAACACCGAUGGCGUAGGCAGUCUACUGGCUCGUUCUUGACACUAAGGCACGAAAGCGUGGGGAGCAAACGGG
Molecule: unclassified non-coding RNA, 254 nt
Filed under: Patescibacteria group bacterium
Lineage: Bacteria
Description: contains 16S-23S intergenic spacer region
Rfam family: Bacterial small subunit ribosomal RNA
Source: RNAcentral